UAAUAAGGAGAACUUCAAAAUUCAAUUUAAAUACAUUUUAUAUGAUAGAAACAAAUAAUAAACUCAAGACGUACAAGUCAUGAAAAAUACGAAUAAAUCAAAUCCUACCGACUCUUGAUAGAUAAAAGUCAAGCCUUCAAUUCUUUUUAGCAUUGGAUUAAAGUUUAAAAAAUCAUGGGUCGUACAGAGAAAAUAUAAACAAUAAAAAUCAAAAUGUGAAAAUUACUUACAUUGGAAGAUCAGAGUAAAAUAAAACUGGCAAAAUAUGGCAAGCACUAAGGUUAAAUUCUAAAUGAAAUUUAUAUUUUUAACGAAAAACUGCUAUUUAGAAUAAUGAACUUAGUGUAAUGUUUGGUUUAUUGUUAUGAACUGGCUUCAUUAACUAUCGGAUCGAUAUGGACUUUUAUAUUAUCAUUAUUAAUAUAAACCUGUAUAUUAUCAUUAGUCACUGCAUAAAUAGGAAUAAAUCGUUUUCGUUAAAUUUACAUUUUUAUUUCUAGAAAUUGUGACACGUGAGAAACACCUAAUCUAUCAAUAAUACUAUUACGACAUUAUUUGGUAAACAUGCCUCUAUAUUAACUUGGUUUUUUUUAAAUCUAAAUUAAUACCAUAAAUCAUGGACGGAAAAAAAAGAAACAUUUUGUUUUAUAGAUUUUAUUAAUAAAUAUAUAAAUAUUUAAAGUUAAGAAUUGAAAACAAGAAACAUUUUAUGAAUACAAUUCAUUUAAAUAUUCAUUUAAAACGAGUAUCACGACCUUGCAGUUCACAUUGGACAAAUUUUCUUGCAAGCGCAUACUUUCUAUUAAUCGAGUAAAACAAAUAAGAGAACCCACAUUUAUUUCCAUCAUAAUCUCUUAGAAACUAGAUACUAGAAAAAUAUGUUCAACCAUCCUUCAAAAUAAGCAAAUUAAACAUACGAUCGAGAUAAAUAUUUUUGCAAUUAAUCUACAACGCUGUUUGAUAUAUUUUUUCUAAAAAAAUAUUCGGUACGUGUAUCAAUUGGAAAUUUUAACAUACCAAAAAUUAAAACAAGUAAUGACAUUCGAUGCUUUUCCCGUUUCUAAAGCUUGCAUACUUCGAUCAAUGUAAAAAGGUGAUUAUAAAUGAAAACAUAUGUUAAUCCAGCCUUACCAUUAUAUUAACAAUUCUUCUUGAUGUUGAAAUUGCCAUUUUUUAUUGGAGUAAUUAAUCGGACUGAUAAUUAUUUAUAUUUCAGGUUAUAGGUACGCAAACGGGCGAUUACACAUUUGGCAAAACCUCAAUUUCCUCAAUAUUGGAGACGAAAUGGGCUUCAGGAGUAAAAAAAAAUCAAAUGUGGUAUCGUUGAUGAGCAUUUUAUAGGCACAUUCUGAACAAUAAAUCAAUAUUGAAUAGAUAUAGUGAAAAUUUGAAACCACUUUGUAAGUACUUUUCAUGAAUCAAUAUAAUCAUUUUGAAGAAAGAAAAAAAGGUUUUUGUUAUCCCCUUCUCAUUGUAACUAUCGGCGUAUCAUGUUACUUUGACUUUUUAAGACGUCAGUAGUUGAAACAUUAAUUGAGCAUCUGUACCUGAGCAUUUUUGUCACCAACUAUUAAUAUUAAUAUCAUUGUUAUGUACAACCUUAACACUUGCAAGAAAAUUCAUACAAAGAAAGCAGUCACGGUAAAACGAUAUCUUGUCAAAUUUAGAUCUUGGCAUACAGCACGUACUUUAAACAAUGGCUUCACAAGAUUUUUGACCGUUUCAAGCUGAAUGGUUUUAUUUUGAAAACGGCGAAGAAUAUAUAAAAAAAAUGAAAAUAAAACGACAAUAUUCAUUUGUAUAUUGAUUUCAGUCAAACAACAAUUCCAUUAGUUAUAAAAUAAUAUAAGCUAAAAAAA
Molecule: long non-coding RNA, 1859 nt
Filed under: Mytilus galloprovincialis (Mediterranean mussel)
Lineage: Eukaryota; Metazoa; Mollusca; Bivalvia; Mytilida; Mytilidae
Source: RNAcentral